Molecule: ribosomal RNA, 491 nt
Filed under: uncultured bacterium
Lineage: Bacteria
Description: partial 16S ribosomal RNA
Rfam family: Bacterial small subunit ribosomal RNA
Source: RNAcentral
AGUGAACGCUGGCGGUAGGCCUAACACAUGCAAGUCGAACGGCAGCACAGUAAGAGCUUGCUCUUACGGGUGGCGAGUGGCGGACGGGUGAGGAAUACAUCGGAAUCUACUUUUUCGUGGGGGAUAACGUAGGGAAACUUACGCUAAUACCGCAUACGACCUACGGGUGAAAGCAGGGGAUCUUCGGACCUUGCGCGAUUGAAUGAGCCGAUGUCGGAUUAGCUAGUUGGCGGGGUAAAGGCCCACCAAGGCGACGAUCCGUAGCUGGUCUGAGAGGAUGAUCAGCCACACUGGAACUGAGACACGGUCCAGACUCCUACGGGAGGCAGCAGUGGGGAAUAUUGGACAAUGGGCGCAAGCCUGAUCCAGCCAUACCGCGUGGGUGAAGAAGGCCUUCGGGUUGUAAAGCCCUUUUGUUGGGAAAGAAAAGCAGCAGGUUAAUACCCCGCUGUUCUGACGGUACCCAAAGAAUAAGCACCGGCUAACUCCGU